RNAcentral lists this long non-coding RNA (216 nucleotides) under Elaeis guineensis (African oil palm). Its description in RNAcentral is "long non-coding RNA (EGUI_LNC061903)". The record is from RNAcentral. Lineage: Eukaryota; Viridiplantae; Streptophyta; Magnoliopsida; Arecales; Arecaceae.
ACACAAAGAAGGAGGAUGUGGUGGAAGGAAAAAUUGCAAGACAUUCUAUGCUGAUUUUGUUAGAUUUGUGUCCUAGAAGCCAAUUGUCUCUAAGUGUGCAAGUGGGAUAAAUGAAAGAAUGGGUGCCAUCUACUUUCAUUUUUGGCAGGAACUGGAUGCCAAAUAUCAAGAUAUUACAAGAGGGGCCUGCCCCCUCUUAUAUGGCAUGGCAUGGAG